This 497-nucleotide ribosomal RNA is filed under the name uncultured bacterium. RNAcentral describes it as "partial 16S ribosomal RNA". It matches the Rfam family "Bacterial small subunit ribosomal RNA", at positions 28 to 507 of the family's 1533-position model. The record is from RNAcentral.
GAUGAACGCUGGCGGCGUGCCUAAUACAUGCAAGUCGAGCGAACAGACGAGGAGCUUGCUCCUCUGACGUUAGCGGCGGACGGGUGAGUAACACGUGGAUAACCUACCUAUAAGACUGGGAUAACUUCGGGAAACCGGAGCUAAUACCGGAUAAUAUAUUGAACCGCAUGGUUCAAUAGUGAAAGACGGUUUUGCUGCCACUUAUAGAUGGAUCCGCGCCGCAUUAGCUAGUUGGUAAGGUAACGGCUUACCAAGGCAACGAUGCGUAGCCGACCUGAGAGGGUGAUCGGCCACACUGGAACUGAGACACGGUCCAGACUCCUACGGGAGGCAGCAGUAGGGAAUCUUCCGCAAUGGGCGAAAGCCUGACGGAGCAACGCCGCGAGAGUGAUGAAGGUCUUCGGAUCGUAAAACUCUGUUAUUAGGGAAGAACAAAUGUGUAAGUAACUAUGCACGUCUUGACGGUACCUAAUCAGAAAGCCACGGCUAACUACGUG